Molecule: long non-coding RNA, 766 nt
Organism: Musa acuminata AAA Group (dessert banana)
Lineage: Eukaryota; Viridiplantae; Streptophyta; Magnoliopsida; Zingiberales; Musaceae
Exons: 3
Source: RefSeq, a predicted model, not a curated record
UGUAAUCUUAAUUUGGCUUCCGAUAAUUUUCUCCUAUAUAGUUGAUUCUUCCUUCUUGCAGUUGAUACAAAAUUCAGUGCUUUUCGCCAUUGACAGUUUGCAGCCAAGGAAGGUGAUAUUGUGACACCUGGGACUAAGGUUUCUGUAGUAUCCAAGUCUUCUCCUAGCGGCACCCAUGUUGUCCCAUCAGAUGAUAAAGUGGUCAAAGAUGCUCGACCACGAUCACCUCCUGCUGGUGCUCCCCAACCAACUCCUCCAACAGAGAAAAUUGACAAACGAGUGCUCAAAGAAGAAGGUUCAACCAAAGAAAAGCCUAAAGUAACCUCAGAUGCAACCCCCAAAACCUCACCUUCCAAACCUCAGUUACCUCAUCAAGGAAAGGGAAAGAGGAGUUGCUUUGUUUUCUCGAUCCAAAACCAGCCAGCCAAUCAUCAAUGCAAAUCCGAUGUUAUAUAUAGAAAGUGAACCAAGGGCCUUGUGGAUCCACUCAUCAGGAAUGCUGAUAGGUUGAAUUGAAUUUUGCGGGAUAGAGAGAGGAGAUAAAAGCAACCUUGCAAAGAAGAAGAUUCCUGGAGACGACCCCGUUGGGAAUCGAUUGAUAUUGCUACAUUAUUUGCGGGGAUCAGAAACCUUGUGAAGAAGAUAAAACAGUAAGAUAAUAUCAAUUGGAUGAGAUGAUGAUGAUUGGAGGCACAUUUACCAUUUCCAAUGGAGGAGGAGUACACCUAUUAUAAUCACACCCCCACCCCCACCAGUUCUUCACUUA